AGAGUUUGAUCAUGGCUCAGAGCGAACGCUGGCGGCAGGCCUAACACAUGCAAGUCGAACGCCCCUUCGGGGGAGUGGCGGACGGGUGAGUAACGCGUGGGAACGUGCCCUUUGGUACGGAACAACUGAGGGAAACUUCAGCUAAUACCGUAUGUGCCCUUCGGGGGAAAGAUUUAUCGCCAUUGGAGCGGCCCGCGUUGGAUUAGGUAGUUGGUGGGGUAAAGGCUCACCAAGCCUACGAUCCAUAGCUGGUCUGAGAGGAUGAUCAGCCACACUGGGACUGAGACACGGCCCAGACUCCUACGGGAGGCAGCAGUGGGGAAUCUUGCGCAAUGGGCGAAAGCCUGACGCAGCCAUGCCGCGUGUAUGAUGAAGGUCUUAGGAUUGUAAAAUACUUUCACCGGGGAAGAUAAUGACGGUACCCGGAGAAGAAGCCCCGGCUAACUUCGUGCCAGCCGCCGCGGUAAUAC
This 470-nucleotide ribosomal RNA is filed under the name uncultured bacterium. RNAcentral describes it as "bacterial SSU rRNA". It matches the Rfam family "Bacterial small subunit ribosomal RNA", at positions 8 to 526 of the family's 1533-position model. The record is from RNAcentral.